This 254-nucleotide ribosomal RNA is filed under the name uncultured bacterium. RNAcentral describes it as "partial 16S ribosomal RNA". It matches the Rfam family "Bacterial small subunit ribosomal RNA", at positions 524 to 776 of the family's 1533-position model. The record is from RNAcentral.
UACGUAGGGUGCGAGCGUUGUCCGGAAUUAUUGGGCGUAAAGAGCUCGUAGGCGGUCUGUCGCGUCGGUCGUGAAAACUUGGGGCUUAACCCUGAGCUUGCGGUCGAUACGGGCAUGACUGGAGUUCGGCAGGGGAGACUGGAAUUCCUGGUGUAGCGGUGAAAUGCGCAGAUAUCAGGAGGAACACCGGUGGCGAAGGCGGGUCUCUGGGCUGAUACUGACGCUGAGGAGCGAAAGCGUGGGGAGCAAACAGG